Molecule: ribosomal RNA, 446 nt
Filed under: uncultured bacterium
Lineage: Bacteria
Description: partial 16S ribosomal RNA
Rfam family: Bacterial small subunit ribosomal RNA
Source: RNAcentral
CCUACGGGUGGCAGCAGUAGGGAAUUUUCGGCAAUGGGGGGAACCCUGACCGAGCAACGCCGCGUGAACGAAGAAGUUAUUCGUAUUGUAAAGUUCUUUUAACAGGGAAGAAAGAGAAAUUUGACGGUACCUGAAGAAUAAGCUCCGGCUAACUACGUGCCAGCAGCCGCGGUAAUACGUAGGGAGCGCGCGUUAUCCGGAAAUAUUGGGCGAAAAGGGUUCGUAGAUGGAAUAGAAAGUCUUUUGUAAAAAUGAUGGGCUAAACCCAGUAGGGCAAAAGAUACUGCAAAGCUAGAGUAUGACAGAGGCAAGUGGAACUACAUGUGUAGCGGUAAAAUGCGUAAAUAUAUGUAAGAACACCAGUGGCGAAGGCGGCUUGCUGGGUCGAUACUGACAUUGAGGCACGAAAGCGUGGGGAGCAAACAGGAUUAGAUACCCCUGUAGUC